RNAcentral lists this ribosomal RNA (785 nucleotides) under uncultured bacterium. RNAcentral describes it as "bacterial SSU rRNA". It matches the Rfam family "Bacterial small subunit ribosomal RNA", at positions 56 to 889 of the family's 1533-position model. The record is from RNAcentral.
UGCAAGUCGAACGAAGUAGCAAUACUUAGUGGCAGACGGGUGAGUAACAUGUAGGUAUCUGCCCUUUGGCCUGGAAUAACACGAGGAAACUUGUGCUAAUACCGGAUAAGUCUUUACGGAGAAAGCUUUAUGCACCAUUGGAUGAGCCUGCACUUGAUUAGUUUGUUGGUGGGGUAAUGGCCUACCAAGACUGUGAUCAAUAGCUGAUUUGAGAGGAUGAUCAGCCACAUCGGGACUGAGACACGGCCCAAACUCCUACGGGAGGCAGCAGUGGGGAAUCUUGCACAAUGGAGGAAACUCUGAUGCAGCGAUGCCGCGUGAGUGAAGAAGGCCUUUGGGUUGUAAAGCUCUUUCGUCGGGGAAGAAAAUGACUGUACCCGAAUAAGAAGGUCCGGCUAACUUCGUGCCAGCAGCCGCGGUAAUACGAAGGGACCUAGUGUAGUUCGGAAUUACUGGGCUUAAAGAGUUCGUAGGUGGUUGAAAAAGUUGGUGGUGAAAUCCCAGAGCUUAACUCUGGAACUGCCAUCAAAACUUUUCAGCUAGAGUAUGAUAGAGGAAAGCAGAAUUUCUAGUGUAGAGGUGAAAUUCGUAGAUAUUAGAAAGAAUACCAAUUGCGAAGGCAGCUUUCUGGAUCAUUACUGACACUGAGGAACGAAAGCAUGGGUAGCGAAGAGGAUUAGAUACCCUCGUAGUCCAUGCCGUAAACGAUGUGUGUUAGACGUUGGAAAUUUAUUUUCAGUGUCGCAGCGAAAGCGAUAAACACACCGCCUGGGGAGUACGACCGC